This 88-nucleotide ribosomal RNA is filed under the name Nelumbo nucifera (sacred lotus). The record is from RNAcentral. Lineage: Eukaryota; Viridiplantae; Streptophyta; Magnoliopsida; Proteales; Nelumbonaceae.
GAUCCCAUCAGAACUCCGAAGUUAAGUGUGCAUGGGCGGGAGUAGUCCUAGGAUGGGUGACCUCCUGGGAAGUCCUCGUGUUGCACCC